This 843-nucleotide long non-coding RNA is filed under the name Homo sapiens (human). RNAcentral's name for it is "HSALNT0234160". The record is from RNAcentral. Lineage: Eukaryota; Metazoa; Chordata; Mammalia; Primates; Hominidae.
GGAAGAAGGAAAUCUAUCCCAUAUUGAAAGCUGAAAUGCAAGAAAGGAUGAGGGGCAACAGAAAGAAUAUAAAUUGUUCCACCAUCUUGAAACAGACCAAGGCGCUUGGGUGAUCCAUUGGCCACAUUUGCCGAAGUUCUUCACAAGAUCUCUAUCCAACUUCACCUUGUCUCUUAGCAUAGAGAUGAGGACGGCCACAGGGUAGUGAAGAGGGCAACAUACACCAUUCUUUCAAGGAGCUCUAAGGUCUCCCACCCACCCCACCUGAACCUGCUGGCCGGCAGUCCAGGCCUGGGCCUCACCAACUCCAGAAUCAUUCACAAGAACAUGGUCACACAGGAGACCUGUGCUCCUUUCUCCAUUCUUCUUCUCUAACGCCAGUCAGCAAACCCACCACCUGAAAAAGCUUCAACUGCCCACGAGGGCCUAGAGGAAAGAGCUUCUUAGGAAUCACCCCCUGCAGUCUGUCGUGGGUGGAUCACCCUACAAUGUCUUAUGCAAAAGGCUAAUUCUACCCCUUCUGGGUGCUUAUCUCAAUGGAGCCCCAAAGCCUUAAGAACCAGAUGGCGUUAACCAAUUUAUGUUCCGGGAAGUGCAGGUCCAGGCUAACCCAUGCGGCUGGUUUCACGGAGGCCCAGAAGGCCCUCUGGUUGAAGAUGGCUGGUCUCUUAACUUCUUUAUCCUGAACCUGGUCUUGGCGGCCAACACCUCUGAGGCCAUUCCCUCUGGGGAGUGGUGGCUGGCUGUUCCUUGUGUUGUCCACUUGUGGAAAACCCAAAGCAGUAACAGUUGUGUUCCUAAGCCCUUGCUCCCCAAAGACCAUGGGUGUUCCUCCAUUGUUUG